Molecule: ribosomal RNA, 1183 nt
Filed under: uncultured fungus
Lineage: Eukaryota; Fungi
Description: eukaryotic LSU rRNA
Rfam family: Eukaryotic large subunit ribosomal RNA (bases 549-1183)
Source: RNAcentral
AAGUCGUAACAAGGUUUCCGUAGGUGAACCUGCGGAAGGAUCAUUAUUGAAAGCUUCGGCUUCCUUUGAUGCUUAACCCUUUUGAUGUCCAUUACCUCAGUUGCUUCCACGAAUUCUUGGAUUCGUGGUCGGCCUUUAAUAAAAACCUUUAUAAUUAGCUAUGUUUUGUCUGAAUAAACAAAAAAUGUUUUAAAACUUUCAACAACGGAUCUCUUGGCUCCUGCAUCGAUGAAGAACGCAGCGAAAUGCGAUAAUUAAUGUGAAUUGCAGAAUUCAGUGAAUCAUCGAGUCUUUGAACGCACAUUGCGCCCCAUGGUAUUCCGUGGGGCAUGCCUGUCUGAGCGUCAGCAACACCACUCAAGCAUUGCUUUAAUGCCUUGCUUGGACUAUAUCAGAGAAGCGGUUUGUUUACUAACCGCCCUCUGGAAAUUGAUAGAUGGUCAGGUUGUCACACUAUGCCAAACGUCAUAUGAUUUAAAUCGUUCGUUUUCAUUGGUUGAUAUCUUGAUAGUCAUUGAACCCACAGUGUAUGCUGUUUUUUUCUGACUUGACCUCAGAUCAGGUAGGGAUACCCGCUGAACUUAAGCAUAUCAAUAAGCGGAGGAAAAGAAACCAACAGGGAUUGCCUCAGUAACGGCGAGUGAAGCGGCAAAAGCUCAGAUUUGAAAUCUGGCGUCUUAUGGCGUCCGAGUUGUAAUCUGUAGAGGAGUGUUCGAGCAUGGCCUUGGCUUAAGUUCCUUGGAACAGGACGUCAUGGAGGGUGAGAAUCCCGUGUACGGCCUUUGACUUGUGCUUAUGUGAACCUCCUUCAACGAGUCGAGUUGUUUGGGAAUGCAGCUCUAAAUGGGUGGUAAAUUUCAUCUAAAGCUAAAUACUGGCAGGAGACCGAUAGCGCACAAGUAGAGUGAUCGAAAGAUGAAAAGAACUUUGGAAAGAGAGUUAAAUAGUACGUGAAAUUGUUGAAAGGGAAGCACUUGCUCCCAGACUUGCCUGCAGCUGAUCAAUCGCCAUUUUUGGUGGUGCACUUGGUUGUAGGCAGGCCAGCAUCAGUCCAGACGACGAGAAAAAGGUGCAGGGAAUGUGGCUCUUUUCGGAGAGUGUUAUAGCCCUGUACGUAAUGUCGCCUGCCUGGACUGAGGCCCGCGCUUCGGCGAGGAUGCUGGCGUAAUGGUCGUAAGUGACC